RNAcentral lists this ribosomal RNA (497 nucleotides) under uncultured bacterium. Its description in RNAcentral is "partial 16S ribosomal RNA". It matches the Rfam family "Bacterial small subunit ribosomal RNA", at positions 28 to 507 of the family's 1533-position model. The record is from RNAcentral.
GAUGAACGCUGGCGGCGUGCCUAAUACAUGCAAGUCGAGCGAACAGACGCGGAGCUUGCUCCUCUGACGUUAGCGGCGGACGGGUGAGUAACACGUGGAUAACCUACCUAUAAGACUGGGAUAACUUCGGGAAACCGGAGCUAAUCCCGUAUAAUAUAUUGAACCGCAUGGUUCAAUAGUGAAAUACGGUUUUGCUGUCACUUAUAGAUGGAUCCGCGCCGCAUUAGCUAGUUGGUAAGGUAACGGCUUACCAAGGCAACGAUGCGUAGCCGAACUGAGAGGGUGAUAGGCCACACUAGAACGGGGACACGGUCAAGACGACUACGGGAGGCAGCAGAAGGGAAUGUUACGCAAUGGGCGAAAGCAUGACGGAGCAACGGCGCGUGAGUGAUGAAGGUCUUCGGAUCGUAAAAAUCUGUUAUUAGGGAAGAACAAAUGUGUAAGUAAAUAUGCACGUCUUGACGGUACCUAAUAAGAAAGCAACGGCUAACUACGUG